This 566-nucleotide non-coding RNA is filed under the name Pan troglodytes (chimpanzee). Lineage: Eukaryota; Metazoa; Chordata; Mammalia; Primates; Hominidae. The record is from RNAcentral.
CAUUCUACUUUCUGUCUCUACGAAUUUGACUACUCGAAGUACCUCAUGUGAAAUGUUGGUGCCAAAUGAACUUUUCUGGUUCUUCUGAAUAUGCCACUGUUGCUGGAGAAAUGUCACUGCUAGAGAAUAGAAGACUAUUAUUCCAAAGGGUAUUUGAGACUGACUGAAUCAGGUCUGGAACAUUAUUGAAAUGAGACCCACAAAGGAAGAGAUACUGAGUGUAACUGGAUCUUGGUUCAUGCUGAGCUUAAAAUUUGAUCUUCUGAAUAUCAGCAGAAAGACUCUUUCUGGUGAAUACAGAUCUUCUAAGCAAUUAUCGACUGACUUUGUCAUUAGACUGCCCUUUCAGAAGUUGUCAGUGACAUGAAUCUUUGCUCCCUUCUUCAUGGAAUAUUUCUGAUCUAAUAGCCCCUAUAUUUCAAAAGAUGGAUAUAAACAUCAGAUGAAUAUCACAGGAAAGCUGGAUUGCUCUGCAGUGAGUGAAACGUGGAAAGGCCUUUCCCCACCAAGCAGUAGGCCAAAUUGUAACAGUAAGAUGUAUUUGAAAUAAAAUGGUUCAUAGAUCA